CACGCAGGCGGUCUGCUAAGUUCGGAGUGACAGUCACCAGCUUAACUGGUGAAGGACUUUGAAAACUGGCGGACUUGAGAGCGAGAGAGGGACAUGGAAUUUCGGGUGGAGCAGUGAAAUGCGUAGAUAUCCGGAGGAAUACCAAAGGCGAAGGCAGUGUCCUGGCUCGUAUCUGACGCUGAGGUGCGAAAGCUAGGGGAGCGAACAGGAUUAGAUACCCCGGUAGUCCUAGCCGUAAACGAUGACCACUAGGCGUGGGAGGUAUCGACCCCUUCCGUGCCGCAGUUAACACAAUAAGUGGUCCGCCUGGGGAGUACGGUCGCAAGACUAAA
Molecule: ribosomal RNA, 332 nt
Filed under: uncultured bacterium
Lineage: Bacteria
Description: bacterial SSU rRNA
Rfam family: Bacterial small subunit ribosomal RNA
Source: RNAcentral